Molecule: long non-coding RNA, 713 nt
Organism: Xenia sp. Carnegie-2017
Lineage: Eukaryota; Metazoa; Cnidaria; Anthozoa; Malacalcyonacea; Xeniidae
Exons: 3
Source: RefSeq, a predicted model, not a curated record
UGAUUCGCCUGGAUAUUGUGCCAAGUAUGGGACAUAUAGCUGCAUGGAUUUGGAAUCUAACAACAUUUUAGACACACAACUUGUUCAGUCCAAUGAAGUGACGAACUCUGGAGCAAUGGAACUUGAGGGAUUAAAAAGAUGUCUGGCAAAGUUUGAUGAAAGUGGGAUGAAGGUGAAGUCAAUGACCACAGACAGACAUGCUCAAAUCAAAUCCUACAUGUCAAAACAAAGACCAAAAAUCGAGCACUACUUUGAUGUAUGGCAUGUAGCAAAAGGUAUAGAUUGUCAUAACAAACCAACCUUUUACACAUUUCAUCAAUAAUCAAAUUCCAACAGGAAUCAAAAAGAAAAUUUUGGCAGCAUCAAAAAGUGGUUGCAAAUUAUUGUCGGAUUGGGCCCAAUCAAUUUCCAACCAUGUAUACUGGUGUGCUGCUUCCAGCAAUGGUGAUGAAGAACUUGUCAAGGCAAAGUGGUUGUCAGUUCUCAAUCAUAUAUGUGACAUCCAUGAGGGACAUAGUGAUGUAUUCCCAAAAUGUGAACAUGAUAUGUUAGAGCCUAGAAUGUGGAUAAAAAAGGUUCAAAAGCUUAUGUUGAGCUGUCUUCGAUUGUUGAGUCCAAGUAUCUCAUGAGAGAUAUUGGAAAACUCAGUUAUCAGAAGCAGACUUCAUCCAUCGAAGGUUUCCACCGAGUGGUGAUUCUUUUUGCACCAAAAC